This 306-nucleotide ribosomal RNA is filed under the name uncultured bacterium. Its description in RNAcentral is "partial 16S ribosomal RNA". It matches the Rfam family "Bacterial small subunit ribosomal RNA", at positions 507 to 807 of the family's 1533-position model. The record is from RNAcentral.
GACAGCAGUAGCCGCGGUAAUACGUAGGGUGCGAGCGUUAAUCGGAAUUACUGGGCGUAAAGCGUGCGCAGGCGGUUGUGUAAGACAGGUGUGAAAUCCCCGGGCUUAACCUGGGAACUGCGCUUGUGACUGCACAGCUAGAGUAUGGCAGAGGGGGGUGGAAUUCCACGUGUAGCAGUGAAAUGCGUAGAGAUGUGGAGGAACACCGAUGGCGGAGGCAGCCCCCUGGGCCAAUACUGACGCUCAUGCACGAAAGCGUGGGGAGCAAACAGGAUUAGAUACCCCCGUAGUCCCUGUCUCUUAUAC